CCUACGGGUGGCAGCAGUGGGGAAUAUUGGGCAAUGGGCGCAAGCCUGACCCAGCAACGCCGCGUGAAGGAAGAAGGCUUUCGGGUUGUAAACUUCUUUUCUCAGGGACGAAGCAAGUGACGGUACCUGAGGAAUAAGCCACGGCUACCUACGUGCCAGCAGCCGCGGUAAUACGGAGGAUGCGAGCGUUAUCCGGAUUUAUUGGGUUUAAAGGGUGCGUAGGCGGACUGUUAAGUCAGCGGUAAAAACCCGGGGCUCAACCCCGGCGAGCCGUUGAAACUGGCUGUCGUGAGAUGUCGAGAGGUAUGCGGAAUGCGCAGUGUAGCGGUGAAAUGCUUAGAUAUUGCGCAGAACUCCGAUUGCGAAGGCAGCAUACCGGCGGCGAUCUGACGCUGAGGCACGAAAGCGUGGGUAUCGAACAGGAUUAGAUACCCUUGUAGUC
RNAcentral lists this ribosomal RNA (442 nucleotides) under uncultured bacterium. RNAcentral describes it as "partial 16S ribosomal RNA". It matches the Rfam family "Bacterial small subunit ribosomal RNA", at positions 338 to 795 of the family's 1533-position model. The record is from RNAcentral.